This 2296-nucleotide long non-coding RNA is filed under the name Marmota monax (woodchuck). Lineage: Eukaryota; Metazoa; Chordata; Mammalia; Rodentia; Sciuridae. The record is from RNAcentral.
AUUGAACCCAAGGUGCUUUACCACUGAGCCAAAUUCCCAGCUGUUUUUGAAAAAAAAAAAAAAGAAAGAACAUUUUUUUUUUUUUUAAUUCGAGACAGGGUCUUGCUAAGUUGCUUCGGGCCUCACUAAGUUGCUGAGACUCGUCUAGAACUUGUGAUCCUCCUGCCUCAGUCUUCCAAGUCACUAGGAUUACAGGCAUUGACCCCUGUGUCUAGCUUCUGGCCCACUUUUGACCUCCACAGACAGCCAGACAAUUUAAUAAAUUCGGAUUUAUGAAGUUCAUGUUUGCCAGGGGUCUCUCUUGGUGUGUAUUGAGUCCUAUGGCCCCAAAGAGGCAGGAAUUAGAUUCCACCUUUAUGACUGCCAGAGGUUUUAACCUGCAAGUGAUCUGAGCCUAAUGAGGUCCUCCUCAUGUGAGUCCAGCAAAUGAGUGUCAGUCAUGUGCAGGGCCCUCCUACACGUUGAAAGGCAAACAGUGCUUCAGCCUUCUGAGGGCAACAGCGUACAUUUUUCCUUUGUGUGUACAUUAGUGCCUCCUUGUUAGGAGGGACACCGCCCUGUUGUAAAACUAUUCUUAGUAGCCUUGAUUGUGCUUCUUAGUAGACGGGUUGUAAAAAUUAUUGCACUUACAGUAACCCCCAGAAUUCUGGUUUAAAGGUCCCAAACAACACUAUGGGCUUUACAUCAGAGAGCUGAGAGGGCUUUAAAGUUGGCUCUUUGGGAUGGGUUCUGUUUUGGUGGAGAUUCAUGCUUUUGUCGGGUUUUCCUUGCCUUUUCUUUUAAUUAAUAAAAAGGUAAAACUUCACCAUCUUCUGAUACCAAUGCCUGCUAGGAAAGGGUAUUUUAAUGUGAGAUUGCUAUUCUGUCUCUCAAAAGAGUAAAGAUGGACAUCUACUGUCACUUGUCCUAAGGGUCUUAGAGUUUGCCAACGCCAUGUAAAAAUGCAACCAAAACUUGCUAGAGUUAACUCUGAUCAGCAAAGUUAAGUCAGUGUCAGAUGCAGUGAUGGUCUGACCCGUAAUGGCACCAAGAGAACCCUGACCCAGGCCUGCCCUCUGCCAGAUGAUGGAAUAAAGAACCAAAUCUCACUGAGUGUCCCUGCUUCAGCAUCUUGUUUAAAACAGGAAAAUUUGGACUGAUGUCUAAAAUACCUUAGGAGUUUGAUUUUGCAAACAUCAAAUAGUAGGGGUGAAGCUCACAGCCAGCAAAGGCUUCUCUGACAAACCAAUCGAGUCAGCACACCACAACCACAACACAGGUCCAAAGGUGGAGGGAAGCGGGAUUCAUAGCCAAGAUCCACCAGAUGCUGCAUACACACAACUACUACCCCAUGGUAAGGAGAAGGAGGAAGAUGGACACGGUCAGGCAGGAAGCACUUUUUGGUCCCCUUCGUGCUUCUCAAUUGGAUGGUGGAAAUGGGCAGGGAGUGUAUUAUAGGUGUGGGUCUCAAGAGGGAAACACUCAGAAAAAGGACCCGGUUCAGCUCUGCUUUCAUCUCUGUUGAAGACAACAACGGAAGUGGCUUGGAGGGCCCCAUAGGCAGGGCUGGAGGGAGAAGAAUACUUUCUCCUGGAUGGUGGGGUGCAUCUUUAAUCCCAACAACUUGGGAGGCUAAGGCAGGAGGAUCUCAAGUUCAAGGCCAGCCUCAGCAACUUGGUGAGAUCCUGUCUUAAAUAAAAAGGCUGGGGAUGUGGUUCGGUGGUUAAGCACCCCUAGGUUCUAUCCCCAAUACCUAAAAAGAAAAAAGGCCCUAGGGUGCACUGUAAGAGGUAGAUUCUAGAAAGAUGUGGGGAAAUGAGAAGCCAUGGUAAUUCAUGAACUGUCUUCACAACAAGGCAAGAAACUGAUGAUGUUUAUAUGGCCCACAGAAAGCUGCUGCUGAGGUUCCAGGUGAUUGGCCCACAGCCCUCAGUCACAGGCCCUGUAGAGAGCCUCAAAGACUGAGCUGUCAGCAGCUCAACCCCUGUGACUUUCCAACCAAGUCGAGAGGCUGUGAUCUAGAAUUCACUGAAAACUUGGUGAUGGGUAAACGGCGGGGAGGGAGGCAAGGGAGCUUGGCUUUCAGCUCUUAACAUUGUGUAUUAUUUUAACUUAUCAAAAUGGAGUGUGCUAAUUUUAUAAAGAUAAAUAUAGCUUCAAAAGAGCAGAGGUGGACCAGCUUUGACUCCUAUUCUGAGACGGGAGAGAAUAAGGAAUAAGGUGGGAGAAGGAUAUUGAGGAUAUUGAGAACUGGAGAUAAUGAGAUAACUAUACUGUAACAGGAAUCUGACUAAUAAAUGAAUAGCAAAAUUGUGAA